Non-coding RNA from Paramuricea clavata, 629 nucleotides. NCBI's taxonomy places the organism in Eukaryota, Metazoa, Cnidaria, Anthozoa, Malacalcyonacea, Plexauridae. The record is from the annotation of a GenBank genome assembly.
AUCGUGGUCAGAUCAUAUUGAAGCACUCUUUACCAAAGUUAAUCAACGUCUUGGUAUCAUACGAAGAGUUAAGCACCUCCUAACAGUUCUCGUCGUAUUCUAGUAAACAGCCUUGUCAUGCCGAUCUUUGACUACGCUGAUUUUGUGUGGGGUGAUAAAAACAACACCGUCCUGAUGAACAACCUUCAAGUUCUGCACAACAAAGCCGCUAAAAUCAUUCUUGACGCUCAUCCACUCUCGUCAGCCUCAGAAUCCCUACGAUCGUUAAAUUGGCAGCCGUUAACAACACCUAGACGCUUUCAUCGUUGUCUAAUCAUGCACAAGGCUUUAAACAAUGACGUCGAUUUUAAAUUUAAUUUCAAGUUCGCCUCUGACAUCCACAGCUGCAACACUCGAAACAAACAGAACAUACAUUUGGAACGCGUGAAGAAGAACUGGGGGAAGCAGGCAUUCAGCUACCAUGCUGCCAACGAUUGGAAUAGUCUGCCUGUGGAACUCCAGAAUAUACGUCAAAUUAAAACUUUUAAAACUAAACUAAAGAAACAUUUAGCUAUAUAGCCAUAGGCCACCCCACCGAACUGAUAGGAUGCGAACUUUAUACAAUUUAACCUUUCAUAUAUUCACUUUUG